GAAAAUCCCAUUUCUAUCUCCACAGCUGAAAGGAUGUCUUCCCCUGUGAUUUAGCACUCAAAAGUUAAAAUUUAGUGUUGCAGGCUUAGACCCAGACUGACACUCCCAGGGAGUUUCAAUUUGCUCUUGGGCUUUUCCUCUCUAAAAUUUUCUCCUUUGUUCUUUUCUACCAGAGAUGAGUGAGUGCUUCAGAAUCAACUAGGCCUCCUUUGUUAAUUUUUUUUAAAAUUAUUUUAGCUGGUAUUAUUGCUUUCAACUUGGUGAUUCUUUUGAAUAUCGCUUCAUGGGCUCUAAUGGCUGCUACUCUUUCUAAAUUUAUAAGCCUUUAAAGCAGCAGCAUCAUUCCAAGAGGUGGAAAUUACUUUGGCACAAUCAUUUGAGGAGAAAUUUGUAGAUUGAUUGCUAGUUGAUAAGAGAGCACAAUUUUACACUUAUCAAAGUAUAUGCGAGUCUCUAAUCUUGAAUGCUUCUCAUGAAUAGCAUCCUUUAAGGGUUUCACUUGAGUCUGAUCAUCAUUUCUUCAUUGUCAUUCUUCUCUUUGAAUAUGAGUUAUUAGAUUAGUGAAAAGAUAUCAAUUGUUUAAAUUACAAAAUUCUCCCAGGAAUUUUGCCAUGGAUCACUCAUCCAUCCAAAGAAAUCUGAAUAUGAUAGAAAGUUAUUGAGUUAUACCAUAACUUUUCAUAUUCCAUGAUAAUUGCUGUUGCAUUGACAAUCUGUUUCUAUAGCUUUUUUCCUUUUUUUUAAAAUCCCAAAUAUUCCAUGCUUUAAUGGCUUGUUCUUUAUACUUUACUACAUUUGCCGGUUGGUGACAGCAAUUAAUUGAAUUCUGGCCUUCCCCUUAAGGAAAUAUGAAAUUUGGUUCAAA
Molecule: unclassified non-coding RNA, 865 nt
Filed under: Hevea brasiliensis (rubber tree)
Lineage: Eukaryota; Viridiplantae; Streptophyta; Magnoliopsida; Malpighiales; Euphorbiaceae
Source: RNAcentral